Microplitis demolitor is the source of this 90-nucleotide long non-coding RNA. RefSeq lists it as uncharacterized. Lineage: Eukaryota; Metazoa; Arthropoda; Insecta; Hymenoptera; Braconidae. The transcript is spliced from 3 exons. The record is from RefSeq and is a predicted model, not a curated record.
UAUGAUAGGAAAAAAUCCAGUAGAAAUUCCUACAGCUGAAAAUUUGAUAGGAGAUAGUUCAGUAAUAGCAGAAAAUUUGGAGGAUGUAAU